Molecule: long non-coding RNA, 554 nt
Filed under: Erythranthe guttata (spotted monkey flower)
Lineage: Eukaryota; Viridiplantae; Streptophyta; Magnoliopsida; Lamiales; Phrymaceae
Description: long non-coding RNA (EGUT_LNC000892)
Source: RNAcentral
UCAAUUAUUCCUUGAAAUUAAAUAUUCGCUUGUCGUUCAAGAAAUUGCACACAUUAACAGAUAAAAAUCCUAUAAUAUCCACAAAUAUUUUGAUAAAUUUGCUUUGUUCGCUCCGAAUUGGAAUUAAAGUAAUACUCACAGUGUUAUAAUUAUAGACUUCUAGGGUCGUAGUUUUCGCGUCGACAAAUACGAGCUGAGCGCGGGUUCAGAGGAGGCAUAACUUUCAUUUUCUUUGGACAUAUAUCAGUACUUCGUAGUUUCUAUUCAAUUCCUUUAUCACUCUCCCGAGUUAGGUCUCCGAUGAGUGAAAUUCCAGCGCGCAGCCAUUUGGAGUUGCAAAGGAGUCCGGUCUCGACGGAUGAACUCGAUUUCGACGAGAAAAUUAUGCACUACGCCGAGCAGCAAAUCGAGUUUCCCGACCACGAUCAGCUUACAUACGAGACUGUAAGCUCUUGCAUCAAUGGAAGCAGCCUCUCAUUGGUGGGCAUGCAUCCUUGGUUUAACCUUUGGGUAUGCUAAUCUGUACUCACAAUGGCUGGAACAUUCAACCGCCA